RNAcentral lists this long non-coding RNA (1406 nucleotides) under Nicotiana tabacum (common tobacco). Its description in RNAcentral is "long non-coding RNA (NTAB_LNC009302)". The record is from RNAcentral. Lineage: Eukaryota; Viridiplantae; Streptophyta; Magnoliopsida; Solanales; Solanaceae.
GAAUUAUAUCUAAUGCUUUGCAAAAAUAAAAAUAAUUAAAGAUGCUUAACACAAUUUAAUUAACUAACAUAUCGUUAUAACAUUAUCAAACAUUCAAGAGCAUAUAAAAAUGAAUUACAAUAGAAAGAUGAAGUUACUAAUAUUUCCCAACGUCAUUAUCUUUCAUUCCAACUCGAUUUUAUGAGUUUACAUGGUCCGAAAAUUACCUGGCCAGCAGAAAGAAGAACAAAUACAGGAGAGUCAGCUCUUUCCAAAAUCAACAGAAAAACAAUUAAACGGGCAGCAACAAUAGCAAAAGACAACGACAACCAGCAGAUUCAAACCCAAGAAAAUAAACUAGAAAUACCCCAGCAAAACAGUACAAUUAUGUAACUCCAGAAAAAUCUUUCAAAACUAUUCUAUUUUCCUUAAACAAGUUUUUCACUUAAGAAUCAACUCACAAAAGCUGCUAAGGGAUAUUAUAGCUACUGAUUUUUUUUUCUUUUUUGUGUGUAGAGCUCUCUCAGUAAGAUGGAGUGUCCUCCUUCUUUUUCUUUUCCUCAGAAACAACCAGCUAUUUCAAGAUUAAAAAUCAAUCUUUCUGACAGAUUUUUCUACAAAAUCUGCUCUUAAAUUCAAAAGGCCAGACUUUCUGGUUCAAUCUUGUCAAGUAUUUCAAAUAAAAUAUGCUCUCCACUAUUCAAAGACAAACUUUUAUUCAAACACUGUCCAAAUGUCUACAUUUUCUUACCAAACAAUUUGACUUUUGAGUGUUGUACUCAAAGAGUCUUGAAGUAGUAAAUAAACAACCAAACAAGUACCAUAUACUCUUAAGUAUUUUUCACUACCUCACUUUUAUCAACACAAAACUAUUUUACUACUUCGACAAGAGCAAAAACAGAAAAUUUAACAUUUCAAACUUCAAAAACUAAUGCUAAAAUAAUUAAUAAUAAACAAAAAUAAAAUCUGAAAAAAUAAAAAUAAAAUAAAAAAAAUCAUCCAUGAAAAAGAAUAGGAUUUUUACCAUUUUACAAUUCAAGUGGCCGAAAAAAUGGUGGUAUACCAAAAGAGGUGUUCGGGGAGGUUGCCAGAAUUUGGCCGGAUUUUGGCCGCCAGAUUUUUGGAGUAGAAAUUGGAAUCAAUAGGUAGGUCUUGAGGAGUUCUAUCCAUUGAUGUAGGUAUUGUGGGAUGGUAGUGGCCGGAGCUUCAAGAAUUUGAGGCAAAAAGUGGCAGUUAAAAUUUCCUAGAUCUAAGAUUCAAGGAGUUUUAGGGGAUUUUGAAGGAUUUGGUUUGGAGAUAUGGAAAGAGAAGGUGUUGGAGAUUAUAUGGUGAAAUUUUGGGGCGGAUUGGAGGUCGGACGCCAUCGGUGGGGGAUUUCCGGCGGCGGCAAUGGGGCGGCGGCGGCGGCUUGGGGGGAGAGAGAAGAG